RNAcentral lists this ribosomal RNA (253 nucleotides) under uncultured bacterium. RNAcentral describes it as "partial 16S ribosomal RNA". It matches the Rfam family "Bacterial small subunit ribosomal RNA", at positions 524 to 776 of the family's 1533-position model. The record is from RNAcentral.
GACGAACCGUGCGAACGUUGUUCGGAAUCACUGGGCUUAAAGGGCGCGUAGGCGGCUUGAUAAGUCGGGGGUGAAAACCCACGGCUUAACUGUGGGCUUGCGGUCGAUACGGGCAGGCUGGAGUUCGGUAGGGGAGACUGGAAUUCCUGGUGUAGCGGUGAAAUGCGCAGAUAUCAGGAGGAAUACCUGAGGUGAAGACGGGUUGCUAGGCCGACACUGACGCUGAAGCGCGAAAGCCAGGGGAGCAAACGGG